RNAcentral lists this ribosomal RNA (1343 nucleotides) under uncultured bacterium. RNAcentral's name for it is "16S ribosomal RNA". It matches the Rfam family "Bacterial small subunit ribosomal RNA", at positions 28 to 1378 of the family's 1533-position model. The record is from RNAcentral.
GACGAACGCUGGCGGCGUGCUUAACACAUGCAAGUCGAACGGAAAGGCCCUGCUUUUGUGGGGUGCUCGAGUGGCGAACGGGUGAGUAACACGUGAGUAACCUGCCCUUGACUUUGGGAUAACUUCAGGAAACUGGGGCUAAUACCGGAUAGGAGCUCCUGCUGCAUGGUGGGGGUUGGAAAGUUUCGGCGGUUGGGGAUGGACUCGCGGCUUAUCAGCUUGUUGGUGGGGUAGUGGCUUACCAGGGCUUUGACGGGUAGCCGGCCUGAGAGGGUGACCGGCCACAUUGGGACUGAGAUACGGCCCAGACUCCUACGGGAGGCAGCAGUGGGGAAUAUUGCACAAUGGGCGGAAGCCUGAUGCAGCAGCGCCGCGUGCGGGAUGACGGCCUUCGGGUUGUAAACCGCUUUCGCCUGUGACGAAGCGUGAGUGACGGUAAUGGGUAAAGAAGCACCGGCUAACUACGUGCCAGCAGCCGCGGUGAUACGUAGGGUGCGAGCGUUGUCCGGAUUUAUUGGGCGUAAAGGGCUCGUAGGUGGUUGAUCGCGUCGGAAGUGUAAUCUUGGGGCUUAACCCUGAGCGUGCUUUCGAUACGGGUUGACUUGAGGAAGGUAGGGGAGAAUGGAAUUCCUGGUGGAGCGGUGGAAUGCGCAGAUAUCAGGAGGAACACCAGUGGCGAAGGCGGUUCUCUGGGCCUUUCCUGACGCUGAGGAGCGAAAGCGUGGGGAGCGAACAGGCUUAGAUACCCUGGUAGUCCACGCUGUAAACGGUGGGUACUAGGUGUGGGGUCCAUUCCACGGGUUCCGUGCCGUAGCUAACGCUUUAAGUACCCCGCCUGGGGAGUACGGCCGCAAGGCUAAAACUCAAAGGAAUUGACGGGGCCCCGCACAAGCGGCGGAGCAUGCGGAUUAAUUCGAUGCAACGCGUAGAACCUUACCUGGGUUUGACAUGGAUCGGGAGUGCUCAGAGAUGGGUGUGCCUCCUUUGGGGUCGGUUCACAGGUGGUGCAUGGCUGUCGUCAGCUCGUGUCGUGAGAUGUUGGGUUAAGUCCCGCAACGAGCGCAAUCCUUGUUCACUGUUGCCAGCACGUUAUGGUGGGGACUCAGUGGAGACCGCCGGGGUCAACUCGGAGGAAGGUGGGGAUGACGUCAAGUCAUCAUGCCCCUUAUGUCCAGGGCUUCACGCAUGCUACAAUGGCUGGUACAGAGAGUGGCGAGCCUGUGAGGGUGAGCGAAUCUCGGAAAGCCGGUCUCAGUUCGGAUUGGGGUCUGCAACUCGACCUCAUGAAGUCGGAGUCGCUAGUAAUCGCAGAUCAGCAACGCUGCGGUGAAUACGUUCCCGGG